UGCUGCCAGCAUCGCGUCGAAUAGCAUCGCCGCCUGCCCGGCCGGUGCCCGCCGCCGCCUCCGAUUCGCCCCACUGCUCGCCGCCUUCGCCGCCGCAGCCCUGCCGGCCCCGCCGCUCUCUGCUUAGCGUCCGUCGCCCGUGUCUCGGUCUUCUCCCCUUCCGCUGCCUGCGCGGUCCGCACCUCCUGAGCUGCCCGCCCGCGCCGUCGUCGCCGUCGUCGCGCUCCUUCGCCGCGCCGGCUCUCUCAGCGUCGAGGGCACGCUAGCUCCUCCUCCUAGAUCGUUUUCUGGGUGGCGAAGUGGGCUGAUAUCCGGUGCUGAUUUUGAGUUUUGGUCAUGGGUGCUGCUGAUGACUCGAGAGAUGCGGCGUUGGACGAGAUGGAGGUGGACGGUGGUGAGCGGCACCGGGACAGGGAGAGAAGGGACAGGCACAGGCGGGACGAGAAGGAGCACCAUGGCAGUGGCAGAAGGGACAGGGAGAGGGAGAAAGAGAAGGAUAAGGACGAUAGGAGGAGGGAGAAGGAUGACGGCAAGCUUAGGGAUAGGGAAAGGGAGAGGGAGAGAGACAAGGAUAAGGAUAGCAAGCACAGGGACAGGGAUAAGGAGCCAGAGCGUGAUCGUGGCCGUGACCGCGACCGAGGCAAGGAUCGGGAGAGGGACCGAGGCAAAGAUCGGGAGAAGGAACCAGAGCGGGAGCGGGAUAAGGAAAGGGAACGGAGGGACAGGGACAAGGAGAGAAACCGCAACAGAGACAAGGACAAGGAUAGGGCGGAGAGGGGAGACAGGGAGAGGGAGGAUAGAGAGCGUGAGAAGUCAAGGGGGAAGGGUCGUGGAGAAGAUGAUGUAGAUCUGUCCAAGGGCAAUGAGGGGGAUCAUAAGCCGGGAGUUGAUGCUCCAGGGGAGGCUGAGCAGCCCGCAACCGCUGAGCUCAGAGAUCGCAUUGCGAGGGCAAAGGAAGAAAGAUUGAAGGACAAAAAGGAAGGAGGAAUACUGGACAGUGACGAUGGGGCUUCUGAGAUACUGUCAUGGGUGGGAAAGAGUCGUAAACUUGAUGAGAAAAGGGAAGCUGAAAAGGAGAAAGCAUUACGUCUUGCACGAGCAUUGGAGGAACAGGAUAAUAUAUUGGCAGAUAAUGGUGACGAUGACGAUGAGGAAGAGGAAGAUAAACAAGUUGGAGAUCACUUAUCUGGUGUUAAGGUUCUUCAUGGCCUUGAUAAGGUAUUGGAAGGUGGUGCAGUUGUCAUGACUCUCAAAGAUCAGAGUAUUCUUGCAGAUGGGGAUAUCAACGAAGAGGCCGAUAUGCUUGAGAACAUAGAGAUUGGUGAGCAGAAACAAAGAGAUGAAGCUUAUAAGGCUUCAAAGAAGAAAGGAACUUAUGAUGACAAGUUCAAUGAGGAUUCAUCGUCAAAGAAAUCUAUACUCUCACAUUAUGAUGACCCUAUGGAAAAUGAGGGAGUGAUGCUUGAUGAAGGUGGACGUUUCACUGGUGAAGCAGAAAAGAAGCUAGAAGAGCUCCGGAAAAGGAUCGAAGGUGGUCAUGUCCAGAAAAAGACAGAAGAUCUUACUUCCACCACGAAGGUGUCAACAGACUAUUUUACCCCUGACGAAAUGCUUCAGUUUAAAAAACCAAAGAAAAAGAAAUCCCUUAGGAAGAAGGAGAAGCUGGACCUGGAUGCACUUGAAGCAGAAGCGAUUGCUUCUGGAUUGGGGGCAGCUGAUCGUGGGUCCAGGAAGGAUACUAGGAGACAAUCUGCAAGGGAGGAAGAGCAGAAGGCUGAUGCUGAAAAGAGAAGCAGUGCAUAUGAAGCUGCCAUUGCAAAAGCUGAAGAGGCAUCGAGAGCAUUGCGUCCGGAGAAAAUUACGCCUUCUAAACCAGCUGAAGAAGAAGAACUUGUUUUCGGUGAUGAUUACGAAGAUCUGCAGAAAUCUCUGGAGCAAGCAAGAAAGUUAGCCCUAAGGAAGCAGGAAGAGGCUGCUGGUCCACUGGCUGUAGUUGAACUGGCUACUGCAACCAAGGGCCAAGAGGAUACAGAUGCCAUAGAAGGAGAUUCACAGCAAAAUAAGGUUGUUAUCACAGAGAUGGAAGAGUUCGUGUGGGGACUACAACUGAAUCAAGAAACACGCAAGCCAGAAGAAGGUGAUGUGUAUAUGGAUGAAGAUGAUGAUGGCAUGCCUUCAGAUAAUCUUGUCAAAGAUGAAACAAAUGGGUUGGCAGCAAUGGAAGAGGAUGCUCAUGCAGAAAAACCAGUAAAGGUUGAGGAGGAAGAAGUCAAACCAGAUGAGGUUAUACAUGAGGUUGCAGUGGGUAAGGGUUUGGCUAGUGCUUUGAAGAUUCUUAAGGAGCGAGGAAGCCUCAAUGAGGGCACGGAUUGGGGAGGCAGAACUACUGACAAGAAAAAGAGCAAGCUUGUGGGUGUCGAGGAUGGACCUAAAGAUAUUCGUAUUGAAAGAAUGGAUGAAUUUGGCCGAGUGAUGACACCUAAGGAGGCAUUCCGGGAUCUUUCACACAAAUUCCAUGGUAAGGGUCCAGGAAAAAUGAAACAAGAAAAACGGCAGAAGAAGUACCAGGACGAGAUGAAAACCAAGCGGAUGAAAUCUUCUGACACACCAUUAAUGGCCGCGGAAAAGAUGAGAGAGGCCCAAGCUCGCAACCAAACACCAUACCUCAUUUUAAGUGGCAAUGCAAAAACAAGUCAAGCAAGUGACGCUAGCAGCUUUGCUACCGUGGAGAAAGAGCACCCUGGGAGCCUGACGCCCAUGCUUGGGGACAAAAAGGUCGAACACUUUCUGGGCAUCAAACGAAGUGCCAAGCCUGGAAGCUUGCCUCCGCCAGUCCCAAAGAAACCGAAGAACUGAACCUGCAGUGGUCGUAGACUGUGAGUACUACUAGCAACCAGUGGUAGCCUUUUUGCUCAUCUGCUGCUGCAGGCAUGGAGCAGAUUUUUGUUCGAGACACCGACAGCAACAGCGCCACAUGCCAACACCACAUGCCGAGGCUACCCCCAGUACACUGGAAAUUGAUACGUGUGCAUAUGCUUGGCCUGCCAAACGCAGAUACUGAACCCCAGAGGUGACGGAUCUAGAUAUUGUUCCUGCGACACCCGGUUUCUGUUUUGACUAAACUGUAGUUUUGAUGUUAUUCGGUGUUCGGUUGCGGGCAGCAUUUAAGUGUCUGCAUUAGGGUUGACAAACUUAUGUGGUGCCCCAAAGACAACUUAAAGUGGAAGCAUGUGGCAAGUAGUACUUACCAUGGUCUUGAUUGGUAGAUCUGCGGGAGCUACCUUCCCUGGUUUCCCUACCCUAGCAGUGGUCUCCAGGAAGGCGCCCAACAUCCCAGACCGAUGUACCUCGUGCACAAGCACAAACAAGCUAAACUUUUCCGGAAUGAUGAAAUAUCCUACCCAGCCA
This is an RNA transcript of Panicum hallii, 3408 nucleotides long. It is a transcript of the gene named SART-1 family protein DOT2, with no coding region annotated. The transcript has 14 exons. NCBI's taxonomy places the organism in Eukaryota, Viridiplantae, Streptophyta, Magnoliopsida, Poales, Poaceae. The record is from RefSeq and is a predicted model, not a curated record.